GCUGCAACUUUAUGAAUAUUGCAUAUUACGAUUUAGGACGACUCAUCCAUCCCUUACCUCUCUCUUUUCUUUCAAUAACACUCAAACAAGGUCAUAGAUUCUCUUCCAUUUCCUCCUCACUCUGAAACAAGUCUUGAAGUACUCCGUUGUAUUUCACUACGUAAAAGUCAGCAUCAAUAAUCUAAUUCAUGAGCCUGUUUCAUAUACAAAAGCAAUCAUAUACUGAGCAACCCAAAAUAUAGGCUGC
This 247-nucleotide long non-coding RNA is filed under the name Medicago truncatula (barrel medic). RNAcentral describes it as "lncRNA gene41812". The record is from RNAcentral. Lineage: Eukaryota; Viridiplantae; Streptophyta; Magnoliopsida; Fabales; Fabaceae.